This 225-nucleotide ribosomal RNA is filed under the name Triticum aestivum (bread wheat). Its description in RNAcentral is "partial small subunit ribosomal RNA". Lineage: Eukaryota; Viridiplantae; Streptophyta; Magnoliopsida; Poales; Poaceae. The record is from RNAcentral.
AUGGCCUCUUCAGGAGGCACGCCCCUCCAUGGUGCGAAGCAGCAGACCAGGAUCUGGAUGAGGAAGAGGAGAUCCGGGCCCCCCAACGGUGGAUCGAUCGAUGCGAGAGGCGAGGUUCUCCGACGGUGGUGGGAACCUCCAGGCAGAGAGCGACCCCAUGGAUCCGUCCCUGCAGGAGAGAAGGAAGGAGAGGAGACAGGCCAUGGAGAUGGGAUGAGUGCGUGA